RNAcentral lists this ribosomal RNA (836 nucleotides) under uncultured archaeon. RNAcentral describes it as "bacterial SSU rRNA". It matches the Rfam family "Archaeal small subunit ribosomal RNA", at positions 85 to 922 of the family's 1478-position model. The record is from RNAcentral.
ACUGCUCAGUAACACGUAGUCAACCUAACCUAUGGACGGGAAUAACCUCGGGAAACUGAGAAUGAUGCCCGAUAGAACACUAUACCUGGAAUGGUUUGUGUUCCAAAUGAUUUAUCGCCAUAGGAUGGGACUGCGGCCUAUCAGUUUGUUGGUGAGGUAAUGGCCCACCAAGACUAUUACAGGUACGGGCUCUGAGAGGAGUAGCCCGGAGAUGGGUACUGAGACACGGACCCAGGCCCUAUGGGGCGCAGCAGGCGAGAAAACUUUGCAAUGUGCGAAAGCACGACAAGGUUAAUCCGAGUGAUUUGUGCUAAACGAAUCUUUUGUUAGUCCUAGAAACACUAACGAAUAAGGGGUGGGCAAGUUCUGGUGUCAGCCGCCGCGGUAAAACCAGCACCUCAAGUGGUCAGGAUGAUUAUUGGGCCUAAAGCAUCCGUAGCCGGCUCUGUAAGUUUUCGGUUAAAUCUGUACGCUUAACGUACAGGCUGCCGGGAAUACUGCAAAGCUAGGGAGUGGGAGAGGUAGACGGUACUCGGUAGGAAGUGGUAAAAUGCUUUGAUCUAUCGAUGACCACCUGUGGCGAAGGCGGUCUACCAGAACACGUCCGACGGUGAGGGAUGAAAGCUGGGGGAGCAAACCGGAUUAGAUACCCGGGUAGUCCCAGCUGUAAACUAUGCAAACUCAGUGAUGCAUUGGCUUGUGGCCAAUGCAGUGCUGCAGGGAAGCCGUUAAGUUUGCCGCCUGGGAAGUACGUACGCAAGUAUGAAACUUAAAGGAAUUGGCGGGGGAGCACCACAAGGGGUGAAGCCUGCGGUUCAAUUGGACUCAACGCCGGU